Molecule: long non-coding RNA, 146 nt
Organism: Triticum aestivum (bread wheat)
Lineage: Eukaryota; Viridiplantae; Streptophyta; Magnoliopsida; Poales; Poaceae
Exons: 3
Source: RefSeq, a predicted model, not a curated record
CAACGUUGCUAUACACACGACGUCCUAUGCACGAUUUACAGACGAUACUAAUAAUCAAGCCGUUGGUGUCAUCUAGCUCUCUGCAGGACACCGUUCGAUUGCACAUCGUGCAUGCAUCGUCCAUUCACCAGUCGAGAUCGGAAGAG